Molecule: ribosomal RNA, 301 nt
Filed under: uncultured bacterium
Lineage: Bacteria
Description: bacterial SSU rRNA
Rfam family: Bacterial small subunit ribosomal RNA
Source: RNAcentral
GUGCCAGCAGCCGCGGUAAUACGUAGGGUGCGAGCGUUAAUCGGAAUUACUGGGCGUAAAGCGUGCGCAGGCGGUUUUGUAAGUCAGAUGUGAAAUCCCCGGGCUCAACCUGGGAACUGCGUUUGAAACUACAAGGCUAGAGUGUAGCAGAGGGGGGUAGAAUUCCACGCGUAGCAGUGAAAUGCGUAGAGAUGUGGAGGAAUACCAAUGGCGAAGGCAGCCCCCUGGGUUAACACUGACGCUCAUGCACGAAAGCGUGGGGAGCAAACAGGAUUAGAUACCCUGGUAGUCCACGCCCUAA